Non-coding RNA from Gossypium arboreum, 107 nucleotides. NCBI's taxonomy places the organism in Eukaryota, Viridiplantae, Streptophyta, Magnoliopsida, Malvales, Malvaceae. The record is from Rfam.
AGCCCAUGGUGAGAGCACCUUCUCAAUAGGUCCUUGUAUCUCUCUCAUGCAUCAUAGAGUGUCUCUAGAUCCAUCUGGACAAAAUAAGAGAUAUUGUUCCUCAAUUU